CGAUUUUCUGUUGCUAUCACUGAAUACCACACCACAGACUAACUCAUGGAGAAUGAAGGUUUGUCCGGCUCCAGUUCUGAAGGCGGGAGGUUCAGGACGGGGGACUGUGUGGUGAGGUCCUCCUUGCUUUGGAGAUUCUCUGCAGAGUUCCCAGGCAGCACAAGGCAUCAGUACCGACAAUGUCCCAGCUCGGGUCUCCCCGCAACCAUAAAGCUCGGCCUUCAGAUCAGAGCCCCGCCCCACGGCCUUGCUGACUCCACCCCUCCCAAUCACCGGGCCUCAAGACACUGCCCUGAGGUAAGUGUCCACCCUCUAACGCCUCCUGCGGGGGCUGAAUCGCAGCGUGGGUCUGACAGCAGACUUGCUAAUUAGCACGGUGAAUGUUAGAAAUGGGGUCUCCUUGAUGGAAUACAAGGUGCUCAGGAUUACGAAAUGGCUGAAACGGUCUGCAGAGAUUUCUCCGCUUCCACACACCUCCCGACAAAGCCCACAGCUUGGUCCCAAUGCCAGGUGCAACCACUGGCUCAGGUUUGCAUCCCGAAGAACACAGGGGGACAGAACAGAGGCCUGGGGGCGCGGCUAGGUUGCCUCAAACAGGGCUCUGACCCUUGGGAAACGGCAGCAUGGCCAGCAAGUGUCACAGGAGGAACACGGAAGCCUGGGGCAGGACUGGGCUCUGCGCCUCUUCAGCAUUCCGGGGAUCCACCGCAGAACCAGGAGUGCUUCCUGAAUUCUCCUUGCGGAGACUGUGGUAGACAAGAACACCACUCAGAAGUCUUCCAUCUUAGCCAUCUUCAAGGAAAGACACGCCACAAUGCUUGUCACGGAUGCUACUGUAUCCCUCUAAUUUGUGUGCUGAAGCCCUAACCCCCCGUGACUGUUUGGAGCAAAGUCUAUAAACAGGGAAUUAAGGUUGAGUGGGGUCACAGGGUGGCGCAAAGUCAGGUGGGACUAGGGUCCUCGAAGAAGAGUAGACACUGGUGUCUCUCCCAGUGUGCAGGGACAGAGGGAGGCCAUGUGAGGACACAGGGGAAAGGGAUCUCUGUGAGCUGUGAUGAGAGCCCUCCUUGGAAGCCAGGGCUCCUGGCAGCCUGAUCUGGGAUUUCUGGACUCCAGAACUGUGGAAAAAAAUAAUUUCUGUUGUUAAAGUCACCCAGGCUGUGGUAUUUUGUGAUGGCAGAACAAACCGAGUAAUGCAAUGAUACUGAAAGUGGCUUUUCAGUAACAAAGAAAAACAAUCCCCAUUUUAUCACAUGGAGCUCUAGUAACUACAGCGUGGGGAUUUGUUCUCUGUCAAAAUUGAGGGUAGCAGCAGAUCAGUGACAGAGCACUCGCCUACCACACAUGAGGCCCUAGGUCCAAUACCAGAAACUCAGACAGAAUUGAGGGCAGGUGGGCGCUGCGGAAGCAGGCAGGAAAAGCCCCUCAUGUGUGCCAUCGUGAGGCAGAUGUGAAUGAAAAGCCCAGUCUGACUUGUCCUUUCCGCUGGCCACUCAAGAUUCAGCAUAAAAGGGGGCUCAGGCCAGUCCACAUAGUCCAGGGUUCGCACCAAAACCCAAAACCCAGAGAUACAAGUUUCCAGCUGGCUGUAGAAAAGCCACUUUCCUCCACUUUUUGCUCCAGCAUGAGUACUACAAUGUCUGAACAAGCAACUGUGAUGUGUGUAUGUGUUUGGGUUGGAAAAGGGAACCUUAGAGGAAACAAUCUUUGAAAACCUCAGAG
RNAcentral lists this long non-coding RNA (1722 nucleotides) under Fukomys damarensis (Damara mole-rat). RNAcentral describes it as "lncRNA (ENSFDAG00000030347.1)". Lineage: Eukaryota; Metazoa; Chordata; Mammalia; Rodentia; Bathyergidae. The record is from RNAcentral.